Molecule: ribosomal RNA, 1374 nt
Filed under: Escherichia coli
Lineage: Bacteria; Pseudomonadati; Pseudomonadota; Gammaproteobacteria; Enterobacterales; Enterobacteriaceae
Description: bacterial LSU rRNA
Rfam family: Bacterial large subunit ribosomal RNA
Source: RNAcentral
AGUCGAUGGGAAACAGGUUAAUAUUCCUGUACUUGGUGUUACUGCGAAGGGGGGACGGAGAAGGCUAUGUUGGCCGGGCGACGGUUGUCCCGGUUUAAGCGUGUAGGCUGGUUUUCCAGGCAAAUCCGGAAAAUCAAGGCUGAGGCGUGAUGACGAGGCACUACGGUGCUGAAGCAACAAAUGCCCUGCUUCCAGGAAAAGCCUCUAAGCAUCAGGUAACAUCAAAUCGUACCCCAAACCGACACAGGUGGUCAGGUAGAGAAUACCAAGGCGCUUGAGAGAACUCGGGUGAAGGAACUAGGCAAAAUGGUGCCGUAACUUCGGGAGAAGGCACGCUGAUAUGUAGGUGAAGUCCCUCGCGGAUGGAGCUGAAAUCAGUCGAAGAUACCAGCUGGCUGCAACUGUUUAUUAAAAACACAGCACUGUGCAAACACGAAAGUGGACGUAUACGGUGUGACGCCUGCCCGGUGCCGGAAGGUUAAUUGAUGGGGUUAGCGCAAGCGAAGCUCUUGAUCGAAGCCCCGGUAAACGGCGGCCGUAACUAUAACGGUCCUAAGGUAGCGAAAUUCCUUGUCGGGUAAGUUCCGACCUGCACGAAUGGCGUAAUGAUGGCCAGGCUGUCUCCACCCGAGACUCAGUGAAAUUGAACUCGCUGUGAAGAUGCAGUGUACCCGCGGCAAGACGGAAAGACCCCGUGAACCUUUACUAUAGCUUGACACUGAACAUUGAGCCUUGAUGUGUAGGAUAGGUGGGAGGCUUUGAAGUGUGGACGCCAGUCUGCAUGGAGCCGACCUUGAAAUACCACCCUUUAAUGUUUGAUGUUCUAACGUAGACCCGUGAUCCGGGUUGCGGACAGUGUCUGGUGGGUAGUUUGACUGGGGCGGUCUCCUCCUAAAGAGUAACGGAGGAGCACGAAGGUUGGCUAAUCCUGGUCGGACAUCAGGAGGUUAGUGCAAUGGCAUAAGCCAGCUUGACUGCGAGCGUGACGGCGCGAGCAGGUGCGAAAGCAGGUCAUAGUGAUCCGGUGGUUCUGAAUGGAAGGGCCAUCGCUCAACGGAUAAAAGGUACUCCGGGGAUAACAGGCUGAUACCGCCCAAGAGUUCAUAUCGACGGCGGUGUUUGGCACCUCGAUGUCGGCUCAUCACAUCCUGGGGCUGAAGUAGGUCCCAAGGGUAUGGCUGUUCGCCAUUUAAAGUGGUACGCGAGCUGGGUUUAGAACGUCGUGAGACAGUUCGGUCCCUAUCUGCCGUGGGCGCUGGAGAACUGAGGGGGGCUGCUCCUAGUACGAGAGGACCGGAGUGGACGCAUCACUGGUGUUCGGGUUGUCAUGCCAAUGGCACUGCCCGGUAGCUAAAUGCGGAAGAGAUAAGUGCU